UGGGGAAUUUUGGACAAUGGGGGAAAGCCUGAUCCAGCAAUGCCGCGUGUGUGAAGAAGGCCUUCGGGUUGUAAAGCACUUUUGUCCGGAAAGAAAUCCUUGGCUCUAAUACAGUCGGGGGAUGACGGUACCGGAAGAAUAAGCACCGGCUAACUACGUGCCAGCAGCCGCGGUAAUACGUAGGGUGCAAGCGUUAAUCGGAAUUACUGGGCGUAAAGCGUGCGCAGGCGGUUUGCUAAGACCGAUGUGAAAUCCCCGGGCUCAACCUGGGAACUGCAUUGGUGACUGGCAGGCUAGAGUAUGGCAGAGGGGGGUAGAAUUCCACGUGUAGCAGUGAAAUGCGUAGAGAUGUGGAGGAAUACCGAUGGCGAAGGCAGCCCCCUGGGCCAAUACUGACGCUCAUGCACGAAAGCGUGGGGAGCAAACAGGAUUAGGUACCCUGGUAGUCCCACGCCCUAAACGAUGUCAACUAGUUGUUGGGGAUUCAUUUCCUUAGUAACGUAGCUAACGCGUGAAGUUGACCGCCUGGGGAGUACGGUCGCAAGAUUAAAACUCAAAUGAAUUGACGGGGUCAUAGCUG
This 580-nucleotide ribosomal RNA is filed under the name uncultured bacterium. Its description in RNAcentral is "partial 16S ribosomal RNA". It matches the Rfam family "Bacterial small subunit ribosomal RNA", at positions 355 to 932 of the family's 1533-position model. The record is from RNAcentral.